UACGUAGGGGGCAAGCGUUGUCCGGAUUUAUUGGGCGUAAAGAGCGUGUAGGCGGUUAGGUAGGUCCGUUGUGAAAACUCGAGGCUCAACCUCGAGACGCCGAUGGAAACCAUCUGACUAGAGUCCGGAAGAGGAGAGUGGAAUUCCUGGUGUAGCGGUGAAAUGCGCAGAUAUCGGGAGGAACACCGGUGGCGAAGGCGGUCUCUGGGCCUGUACUGACGCUGAGGAGCGAAGCGUGGGGAGCGAACAGG
Molecule: ribosomal RNA, 251 nt
Filed under: uncultured bacterium
Lineage: Bacteria
Description: partial 16S ribosomal RNA
Rfam family: Bacterial small subunit ribosomal RNA
Source: RNAcentral